UACAAUUCGCCCCCAAAUCUCGUCGUGCCCUACACCAGACCGCAGCUGCCGCCACCCCAAGCAGCGCACCCCCACCGCCGCCACCAACUAUCUCAUGGCCAUCGCCUUCCCUCCACCUUCCAUUGUCGCCUCCCCGACCACUUGCGCCAUCACCCCACCCACCACCCCCCGCCCUGGCGCCCCCAACCACCUCAUAGAGGCGCCGCCGAGCACCCAACCGAGACGGACCACCACCGGCGGCGCCGACCAGCUUCCUCUUCUGGACGCUAGCAAGGUCCCUCUCCGGAGCAUGCCCCUCCCCUCAACCACGUCGCCUACUACGUCACCAACAUUCCUGAGCACGGACUCGGUCGCCACCACUCGUACCGUCCCACCUUUGCAGGUCUACUCCUUUCCUCCCCGUCUGCUCCCCCAUGUUCCUUCCUUAUCGGCACUGCUGGCUGCUUUAGCUCCAUGUGCCAAUACCCGUUGGAGAUGUGGACUUCUUCAUUUACGCCAUGCAUAGCUGUCAUUGACUGAGGCUUAAUCUGCGAUGCUACUGUUGCUACUGAUUUUUUUUAGGUGGAACAAGCUUUCCAAUCUUAUUCCACAUGAUUAAUUUUUUUAGAAACAAAAUCUGGUUAUGUAAAGUAUAUAUACAUCUUUUAAUGUAUGUUUCAGGUGCUAUCUUCAUAGAAGCGGUAUGCCAAUGCUCUCAGAUUUAGUUUCUGUUGUUACUCUAUUCCUAAGUUAGUUACUUUUUUAUUUGCUAGAAUCCACACAGUUGAAAUUCACUUUUUAUUUAUGACAAGUAACUGCAUAUGAACUUGGCUAAUAUUAGGGCAUGCCAGGUUGAUGCCAAAAUACAUACGACCAGUAUAUCAAUGUGUUCUUAUAGAUAAAACUUUAAGGUUACUAAUUCUAAUGGUACAGAGAUUCCACUCCCUAGUAUUCAUGAAAUUGUGACUACUGGUCCUGGUUGUCUUACUGUACAUUUGCUCGGGGUUUUCAUCUGUAUAGUUCAGUGCUUCUAGUUUGGUACUAUUUUCAGAAUGAAAGACAGAUCCUUAAUAUUAUUCCAUAUUGGGUACUCUAAUUCUGUGUGUAAUUUUAAUCCAUUCAUUUCUUCUUUUGCCAAUUUUGUUACUGCUUCUCACUAAGUAGACAUGCUAGAUUCAUAUAUGUUUCUUUGAAAAAUGUUCGUUUUUACAAGCUUUUGGAGCUACCAAUGGUGCUGCAUCUAAUGACAGUAUCAAGAAAAUGUAGGAUACUAUGUAAUGUGUACUAAUAAUUUACUAUGAGAUAAAAAAUGAAGUACUGACUGCCAGAUGUAUAUGAUGUUGUAUUUUUCUUGGAAGUUAGCAUUCUGCAUACUAAUAUAUUAUUCCGCUGAAUAUAGUAUAUUGAGCGAUUCCCUCUAAGUUCUUAAGUGAGUAUAAGAUAGUACACAUGCUGACUUGGUAGCUUUCGUACAAAUGUGGUGUUUCCUGCAGUCAUUGACUUCAAAUUAUUCAAGAAAAACAAGAUACACAAAGGAUAUAGGACUUCUUUACUUGCAUCAAAAGAAAUUUGGUAGUCGGUAAAUUAUGUUUAGAAUGAAUUUGAAAGGAAUUUUUUGUUUAUAUGAACGACAAAAACAACAAUAAGGUAGUAACAAAAGUAAGUAAGCGGUCUGAGCAUUGGCUUCACUUUUGUGUAACUUCUUUAUAGUCAUUCAGAACUUAUUUAUCUUCGGUGAAAUCUGAUUAUGUGUGGGGUUUCCUUUUGUAUUUGCAACUAUAGUGCAUGAUUUUUUAAUAAAAAAUAUACUCCAUGGUAUGUACAUUUAGGAAAUAAUUUUUGUCUCAAGAAUAUUAUACUGAAUACAUAUUGUGUAAUUACCUUGAUUAAUUCAACAACUAGCUUAUUUGGGCUUCUGAAAAAAUGAUAUGCAAUAUAAGAGAGAAUCAUAUAAUUCUUAGGUUAUAUUGAACUAAUGUGUUUAUAGUCUUAGCGGAAGUGGCAGGAGUACUAUAGUUGACCUACUACUUCAGCUAUAUGAAUCUACAGAUUGGCAAGCAAGCUAUUUUUCUGAGAAAAGAAAUGCUUGAUCUGCACGGUUCUGUGACUGGGUGUAGGUGGUGGGUGGUGCUCGAGCAGAGUUAAACAGAACAGUGUGUGAGCAGAGGCAUAGAUGGUGGUAGCAAGGCACAAGAGGGUUUAUCAUCACUGGUAUGACAAGAUCAGAUUAUUUAUUUGUGGUCAUCAGGUAACUUAUCUACACACAACUUUUUUAUGUGCAUCUACAAGAUCAAAACGGAAAAAAGAGGCACUACAUUUGGGCACUGAAAGCUUUAUUGAGCCAUUUUGUGUCAUUCAUUUUCUUUCAUACAAUGUAAACUGAAAUUUUGAAGUGAGGAAUAUUGUUCAAUUGGUCUCCUUUUUCGAGUUGGUUACUGUCUUGUUGAGCAACGUUUUCCCGGCAAUCUCCGCUUAUUAGGGUGGCCUCUAAAUUUCAGAUCUGGAAUUUCAUUCCAACUUAGGCCGUUUGGAAUUGGCAUAGCUUGACCUGUGAACUCUCAGCGCGGAGCGAUAGCGAAGCCUUCAGCCUUUAUUUUUUCGAGAGCCCCACAACUAGCUAUCUUAUAGCAAGGUGUUGCCACAUAGUUUUUAUAUCAUCGCAUCCAUUUUCUGGAAAAGGAUACACAUGCCAUUGUGUUACUUAUAGGUCUAAGUCUCCUUGCCCCAAAGCGGUGUUGCCUAACCGUUACUUCCUCACCUCAGCGGUGCCACCUAUAUUCUCUUGUUCAUCACCUGAGCAACACUCCCUCCCCUGCAUCUCAAUUGACGUUACUCUCGGUUCUACAUAUGUAUAAAUUCUGUUCUGGUACGUGUAGAAGGUGGUGAAAUUAUUUUUGGAGGAAUGGAUCCUAAACACUAUGUCGGUGAGAACACAUAUGUCCUAGUCAUCCAGAAGGGAUAUUGGCAGGUUAGUCUUAUUCUUGUGAAUUCACAAAGGGCAUCAAUUAAAAGGUGAUGUUGCAAGUUGCUAUGGGUUGCUUCAUAUAAUGUCUCAGAAAAGCAAAAGAUGAAAUGAAUUGUAUUUAGCAUAGAAAGUGAAGCAAUUAUGUUGUACAAUGAUAUUUUAAUCAGUGUCUAUGUCAAUUAUGUUGUCCCGUGGCAACACACGAGAAGUUAGCCAGUGUAAGUAAUAUUCCUAGCAUUACUUAUGGACCUUUGUGUAACUAUAAGUGUUCUCCAUUUUCCCCUAAAAUAUGCCUUGUGUGAAUCAUAGUUUUGUUUGGAUAAUGUGUGGAUAAGUAUCCUAUGCAUAACUGAUUAGGAAAUUGUAUGAAGAGAACAUUAUAUAUAUCCGCAUAGACGUUCUUAUUUCCUAGAAUAUAUUGACAUCAAAUAUUUAUUCUGUCGAUUUAAAAUCUGAAAUGAGAACUUCAUUUUGAGUUUCUAAUUUGUUACAGGUUUGGUUUCUCAAAGAUACAGAAGUUGAUGGAUGUUUGGAAGAUAUAUAAGUUGUUGGAGGUUUGGAAGAUCUACAAGUUAGUGGAGUGAAAAAUAUAUAUGUAAUAUGCCUUGUUUGUCAAACCUAGAGACAUUGCAAAGUUUUGCUCUGCUCAUUUUGGUGGUUUGUUUUGGCACACAAGCCUCUGUAUCCUCAUUUUGUUUGUGUGCCAGAUCUUUUGUUCAUUUUGAAACAUAUGUACAUAUGAAUUUGAUAUGUUUAUAUUACUGAAUGAGGCUUCACAUAUAACUUUGAUUGAAA
Molecule: long non-coding RNA, 3739 nt
Organism: Hordeum vulgare subsp. vulgare (domesticated barley)
Lineage: Eukaryota; Viridiplantae; Streptophyta; Magnoliopsida; Poales; Poaceae
Exons: 2
Source: RefSeq, a predicted model, not a curated record